CUAAGUUUGAUGGCGACCGGCGCACGGGUGAGUAACACGUAUCCAACCUGCCCUUUACUCGGGGAUAGCCCUUCGAAAGAAAGAUUAAUACCCGAUAGCAUAAUGAUUCCGCAUGGUUUCAUUAUUAAAGGAUUCCGGUAAAGGAUGGGGAUGCGUUCCAUUAGGUUGUUGGUGGGGUAACGGCCCACCAAGCCUUCGAUGGAUAGGGGUUCUGAGAGGAAGGUCCCCCACAUUGGAACUGAGACACGGUCCAA
This 254-nucleotide ribosomal RNA is filed under the name uncultured bacterium. RNAcentral describes it as "partial 16S ribosomal RNA". It matches the Rfam family "Bacterial small subunit ribosomal RNA", at positions 79 to 334 of the family's 1533-position model. The record is from RNAcentral.